GAUGAAGAACGUAGCGAAAUGCGAUAAGUAGUGUGAAUUGCAGAAUUCAGUGAAUCAUCGAAUCUUUGAACGCACAUUGCGCCCCUUGGUAUUCCAUGGGGCGUGCCUGUUCGAGCGUCAUUUGUACCUUCAAGCCUUGCUUGGUGUUGGGUGUUUGUCUCGCCUCUGCGCGCAGACUCGCCUCAAAACAAUUGGCAGCCGGCGUAUUGAUUUCGGAGCGCAGUACAUCUCGCGCUUUGCACUCAGAACGACGACGUCCAAAAGUACAUUUUUACACUCUUGACCUCGGAUCAGGUAGGGAUACCCGCUGAACUUAAGCAUAUCAAUAAGCGGAGGA
This 337-nucleotide unclassified non-coding RNA is filed under the name soil metagenome. RNAcentral's name for it is "partial contains 5.8S ribosomal RNA, internal transcribed spacer 2, and large subunit ribosomal RNA". The stretch from base 1 to 120 matches the Rfam family "5.8S ribosomal RNA", at positions 35 to 154 of the family's 154-position model. The record is from RNAcentral.